This 274-nucleotide ribosomal RNA is filed under the name uncultured bacterium. Its description in RNAcentral is "partial 16S ribosomal RNA". It matches the Rfam family "Bacterial small subunit ribosomal RNA", at positions 523 to 796 of the family's 1533-position model. The record is from RNAcentral.
AUACGGAGGGGGCUAGCGUUGUUCGGAAUUACUGGGCGUAAAGCGCGCGUAGGUGGAUUGGUCAGUUGGGGGUGAAAUCCCGAGGCUCAACCUCGGAACUGCCCACAAUACUGCCAAUCUUGAGACCGAGAGAGGUGAGUGGAAUUCCUAGUGUAGAGGUGAAAUUCGUAGAUAUUAGGAAGAACACCAGUGGCGAAGGCGGCUCACUGGCUCGGUACUGACGCUGAGGCGCGAAAGCGUGGGGAGCAAACAGGAUUAGAAACCCCGGUAGUCC